UGGGUAACCUGCCUCAAAGAGGGGAAUAGCCUCCCGAAAAGGGGAGAUUAAUACCGCAUAAUAUGUUUAGGUCGCAUGACUUUAACAUCAAAGGAUUUUCUUUUAGAAAUUCCACUUUGAGAUGGACCCGCGGUGCAUUAGCUAGUUGGUGAGGUAACGGCUCACCAAGGCAACGAUGCGUAGCCGACCUGAGAGGGUGAUCGGCCACAUUGGAACUGAGACACGGUCCAGACUCCGUAGGAGG
This 244-nucleotide ribosomal RNA is filed under the name uncultured bacterium. Its description in RNAcentral is "partial 16S ribosomal RNA". It matches the Rfam family "Bacterial small subunit ribosomal RNA", at positions 118 to 348 of the family's 1533-position model. The record is from RNAcentral.